Molecule: long non-coding RNA, 338 nt
Filed under: Malus domestica (apple)
Lineage: Eukaryota; Viridiplantae; Streptophyta; Magnoliopsida; Rosales; Rosaceae
Description: long non-coding RNA (MDOM_LNC014036)
Source: RNAcentral
AACCUUCAAACCGUUUGAGGGAGAAUACUCUAUGAUAUGAUUUGAAUCUCUGGCCAGAGUAUGAAUGAGAUUUGGGAAUGUGUUCCGAAUCACAUUCAAGGUAAUCAUAUAAGCACAAGACACACAUUGGAUAGUAGACAUGAGCAAAUGAACUAUCAAACCAAACAAUGUGGUCAAGAGUAUUAGAUUAGAGAAGGAUCGUAUUGCAUUUGUAAUCCCGAACUGAAUAGGUUCUCCACCUCUUCUGAUUAGCUUGGGUAACCAUAAUAUGCUGCUAGGUGUCACUCAUGGUUUGUGGAAGCCCUAAACGUGUGUAAUCACUAAAGGGAGAAUUGAAA